UACGUAGGGCGCAAGCGUUGUCCGGAAUUAUUGGGCGUAAAGAGCUCGUAGGCGGCCUGUUACGUCUGCUGUGAAAUCCCGGGGCUUAACCCCGGAAGCGCAUUGGAUACGACGGCGCUGGAGUGCUGAAGAGGAGAGCGGAAUUCCCGGUGUAGAGGUGAAAUUCGUAGAUAUCGGGAGGAACACCAGUGGCGAAGGCGGCUCUCUGGGCAGACACUGACGCUGAGACGCGAAAGCAUGGGGAGCAAACAGG
RNAcentral lists this ribosomal RNA (253 nucleotides) under uncultured bacterium. RNAcentral's name for it is "partial 16S ribosomal RNA". It matches the Rfam family "Bacterial small subunit ribosomal RNA", at positions 524 to 776 of the family's 1533-position model. The record is from RNAcentral.